Molecule: non-coding RNA, 102 nt
Filed under: Garciella nitratireducens
Lineage: Bacteria; Bacillati; Bacillota; Clostridia; Eubacteriales; Eubacteriaceae
Also listed under: 1 other name
Description: Guanine sequence
Rfam family: Purine riboswitch aptamer
About the family: Riboswitches are metabolite binding domains within certain messenger RNAs that serve as precision sensors for their corresponding targets. Allosteric rearrangement of mRNA structure is mediated by ligand binding, and this results in modulation of gene expression.
Source: RNAcentral
AAAUCUAUUUAUCAUUUCUCUCAUAUAUCCCUAGUAAUAAGGUCUAGGAGUCUCUACCAAACAACCGUAAAUUGUUUGACUAUGAGUGAAAUUUACUCAAGU